GGAUGAGCGCUGGCGGCGUGCCUAAUACAUGCAAGUCGAGCGGUAACAGGUCUAGUUUACUAGAUGCUGACGAGCGGCGGACGGCUGAGUAACACGUAGGAACGUACCCCAAAGUGAGGGAUAACUGCUCGAAAGAGUAGCUAAUACCGCAUGUGAUCUAAGGAUUAAAGCUUUAUGCGCUUUGGGAACGGCCUGCGUUCGAUUAGCUAGUUGGUGAGGUAAUAGCNCACCAAGGCGAUGAUCGAUAGCUGGUCUGAGAGGAUGAUCAGCCAGACUGGGACUGAGACACGGCCCAGACUCCUACGGAGGCAGCAGUAGGGAAUUUUCCACAAUGGACGAAAGUCUGAUGGAGCAACGCCGCGUGCAGGAUGAAUGUCUUCGGAUUGUAAACUGUCUUUUGUUGGUGAAGAAUAUGACGGUAACCAACGAAUAAGGGUCUGCUAACUACGUGCCA
This 454-nucleotide ribosomal RNA is filed under the name uncultured bacterium. RNAcentral describes it as "bacterial SSU rRNA". It matches the Rfam family "Bacterial small subunit ribosomal RNA", at positions 27 to 510 of the family's 1533-position model. The record is from RNAcentral.